AGAAACUCGGCAGGCUGAACGCAUUGCCAGAGGAACUCACCUCUCUGAUGGAGGCUACGCUUGGCGUGCAUUUCCUCUGAGCAGGCACAUCAGCCAAGAAAAGCCAGAAAAUGAAGCUGAAAGCCGCUCAGUGCUCCUGUAGGAACGUACCGCCAAAACCAAUGCCUACCUGCAAACCCAGUGUGACUAAUCUGCAUCUGAAAGAGUUUUAUAAGAUGUGAUCAUCUCUUAACCCUAGUAAGUGAUGCUGAGAUGAAGAUUCAAUGGACACUCUCAUAAGAUAUUCUACGAGUGACUCCAAACAUAGCACAGGGAGGCGGCCGCAUGAGACAGCCAUUGCAGGCUCCGGUGUCUGCAGGAUCUGCGUUACAGAUGUUAUUUUCUCAGAGCUGUUUGUUUUGUAAUUUUGCUGUUAUCUAUUAACCUUGACAAAAAAGGAUGCUCAGAAAGACAUGGCAUUUCUGUGCUUUGCAUUAUUGACCCUUUCUUUUUCUUUUUUUUUUUUUCUUUUUUUUCUUUUUUUUUCUUUUUUUUUUUUUUAAUUAAAUUCUGUGGCUUUGGAAGGACAUUACCUUUCAAAGGAAAAAGUA
Long non-coding RNA from Falco peregrinus (peregrine falcon), 590 nucleotides. RefSeq lists it as uncharacterized. The transcript is spliced from 3 exons. NCBI's taxonomy places the organism in Eukaryota, Metazoa, Chordata, Aves, Falconiformes, Falconidae. The record is from RefSeq and is a predicted model, not a curated record.